This 76-nucleotide transfer RNA is filed under the name Nematobrycon palmeri (emperor tetra). RNAcentral describes it as "tRNA-Leu". It matches the Rfam family "tRNA". From Rfam's summary of the family: Transfer RNA (tRNA) molecules are approximately 80 nucleotides in length. Their secondary structure includes four short double-helical elements and three loops (D, anti-codon, and T loops). Lineage: Eukaryota; Metazoa; Chordata; Actinopteri; Characiformes; Acestrorhamphidae. The record is from RNAcentral. RNAcentral also lists the same sequence under 1 other name.
GUUGCGAUGGCAGAGCCCGGUAAAAUGCGAAAGGCCUAAGCCCUUUUUCUCAGAGGUUCAAAUCCUCUUCCCAACU